AGUGAACGCUGGCGGUAGGCCUAACACAUGCAAGUCGAACGGCAGCACAGUAAGAGCUUGCUCUUACGGGUGGCGAGUGGCGGACGGGUGAGGAAUACAUCGGAAUCUACUUUUUCGUGGGGGCUAACGCAGGGACUCUUACGCUAAUACCGCAUACGACCUACGGGUGAAAGCAGGGGAUCUUCGGCCCUUGCGCGAUUGUAUGAGCCGAUGUCGGAUUAGCUAGUUGGCGGGGUAAAGGCCCACCAAGGCGACGCUCCGUAGCUGGUCUGAGAGGAUGAUCAGUAACACUGGAACUGAGACAAGGUGCAGACGCCUAAGGGAGGGAGCAGUGGGGAAUAUUGGACAAUGGGCGAAAGUCUGAUCCAGCCAUGGCGCGUGUGUGAAGAAGGUCUUCGGAUUGUAAAGCAGUUUAAGUUGGGAGGAAGGGCAGGAAGUUAAUACCUUGCUGUUUUGACGUUACCAAAAGAAUAAGCACCGGCUAACUUCGUG
This 492-nucleotide ribosomal RNA is filed under the name uncultured bacterium. RNAcentral describes it as "partial 16S ribosomal RNA". It matches the Rfam family "Bacterial small subunit ribosomal RNA", at positions 29 to 507 of the family's 1533-position model. The record is from RNAcentral.